CACCGAAGUCAAGCAUCAUUGGGCGCGGUCAGUACUUGGGUGGGUGGCCACCUGGGAACACUGCGUGCCGUU
Non-coding RNA from Caerostris darwini, 72 nucleotides. The record is from the annotation of a GenBank genome assembly. Lineage: Eukaryota; Metazoa; Arthropoda; Arachnida; Araneae; Araneidae.